UUUUGGCUCCUCCUGCUUGGGUUUCCCAGCCAUCAAUCCACCCAUCUGGCACAGGAUUGACUCCUGGUGGAACCCAACUCAGUGAUCUGUGCAGUGUGGUGUUUUCCAAACUGGCCAAGGUGUCUGCAGGGCCCUCAGAAUUUUCCAAGCAAGAAAAGAUUUGGCUACUUGGAGAAACUUCAUCCUUCUGGAGGCAUCACCUCCAGAAUCUACUUGAAGUGGAUGACACUGACUUCCAUGAACUGUUUUCCUUUUGCUGAGGGUGAUGGCUUCCAACUCCAUCCAUGUCCCUGCAGAGGAGAUGAUCUCAUUCCUUUUUAUGGCUGUAUAGUAUUCCAUGGUUUGUCUGUUCACUCUGAUGAUGGUUCCGUUUGCUGUGUGGAAGCUCUUAAGUUGGAUUAAAUUCCAGUCGUCAAUUUCU
Molecule: long non-coding RNA, 421 nt
Filed under: Homo sapiens (human)
Lineage: Eukaryota; Metazoa; Chordata; Mammalia; Primates; Hominidae
Description: non-protein coding lnc-PDLIM1-2:1
Source: RNAcentral